GACCAACGCUGGCGGCGUGCUUAACACAUGCAAGUCGAACGGAAAGGCCCUGCUUUUGUGGGGUGCUCGAGUGGCGAACGGGUGAGUAACACGUGAGUAACCUGCCCUUGACUUUGGGAUAACUUCAGGAAACUGGGGCUAAUACCGGAUAGGAGCUCCUGCUGCAUGGUGGGGGUUGGAAAGUUUCGGCGGUUGGGGAUGGACUCGCGGCUUAUCAGCUUGUUGGUGGGGUAGUGGCUUACCAAGGCUUUGACGGGUAGCCGGCCUGAGAGGGUGACCGGCCACAUUGGGACUGAGAUACGGCCCAGACUCCUACGGGAGGCAGAAGUGGGGAAUAUUGCACAAUGGGCGGAAGCCUGAUGCAGCAACGCCGCGUGCGGGAUGACGGCCUUCGGGUUGUAAACCGCUUUCGCCUGUGACGAAGCGUGAGUGACGGUAAUGGGUAAAGAAGCACCGGCUAACUACGUG
RNAcentral lists this ribosomal RNA (468 nucleotides) under uncultured bacterium. RNAcentral describes it as "partial 16S ribosomal RNA". It matches the Rfam family "Bacterial small subunit ribosomal RNA", at positions 28 to 507 of the family's 1533-position model. The record is from RNAcentral.